This 375-nucleotide ribosomal RNA is filed under the name uncultured soil bacterium. Its description in RNAcentral is "bacterial SSU rRNA". It matches the Rfam family "Bacterial small subunit ribosomal RNA", at positions 26 to 389 of the family's 1533-position model. The record is from RNAcentral.
AGAAUGAACGCUGGCGGCGUGCUUAACACAUGCAAGUCGAGCGAGGCGGAAGGGGGCAACUCCUUCCAGUCGAGCGGCGGACGGGUGAGUAACACGUGGGUAACCUGCCCGGAAGUGGGGAAUACCUCGGGGAAACUCGAGCUAAUACCGCAUGACAUCUUCGGGACGACAGUCCUGAUGAUCAAAGCGGGGUCGCAAGAUCUCGCGCUACCGGAUGGGCCCGCGCCCGAUUAGCUAGUUGGUGAGGUAACGGCUCACCAAGGCUUCGAUCGGUAACCGGCCUGAGCGGGCGAGUCGACGCGACCGGAACUGAGACACGGUCGGACUCGACGGAGCAGCAGUGGGAAUCUGCGCAAGUGGGCGAAAGCCUGACGC